This 253-nucleotide non-coding RNA is filed under the name Roseburia sp. RNAcentral describes it as "T-box sequence". It matches the Rfam family "T-box leader". Rfam says of the family: Uncharged tRNA acts as the effector for transcription antitermination of genes in the T-box leader family. T-boxes are found upstream of many aminoacyl-tRNA synthetase genes and some amino acid biosynthetic genes usually in Gram-positive bacteria. The anticodon of a specific tRNA base pairs to a specifier sequence within the T-box motif, and the NCCA acceptor tail of the tRNA base pairs to a conserved bulge in the T-box antiterminator hairpin. The record is from RNAcentral. Lineage: Bacteria; Bacillati; Bacillota; Clostridia; Lachnospirales; Lachnospiraceae.
AGAUUAGCUAUGAGCAGGAUAAGAUUUCUUACUAUCAACGUUUCCAGAGAGUUGUCGGAAGGUGUGAGACAACAGCGAAGUGGGAAAUUAUCACUUGUGAGCCUUUCAAAUGAAACAAUAGUAGUUUGGAACGGAUUUCCACCGUUAGAGGGAAGCAUAUUUACCGAUAACAGAUAUCGGAGAUGUGACUGAGAGACCAGUAUUAACUGGUAAGAGAAGUGGUAACGCGGAAGCAUAAGCCUUCGUCUUCUUA